UGCGGUCCUCGGUAGUGGCCUUUGAGGGCGGCCUUCCGGCCAGCGCCAAGGGCCUCGAUCGAAGACCGGG
Sinomonas sp. is the source of this 70-nucleotide regulatory RNA element. It matches the Rfam family "Actino-pnp RNA". Lineage: Bacteria; Bacillati; Actinomycetota; Actinomycetes; Micrococcales; Micrococcaceae. The record is from Rfam.